Gopherus agassizii (Agassiz's desert tortoise) is the source of this 1396-nucleotide long non-coding RNA. The record is from Ensembl. NCBI's taxonomy places the organism in Eukaryota, Metazoa, Chordata, Testudines, Testudinidae.
CCAACCCGCAGCUGGGCCCUCCACCUCACUGGGGGGAGGGCGCGUAGGGUGCAGUGGGUGACACACAGCAUAGCUCCAGGCCACCACGUCUGUUUCCCCUCCAGGGUCCAGCAUGGGCCCCUGGGGCUGGACUCCAGCUCCCCAGCCAGUGCCGUGCGCAGGCAGGGGUCUGCAUCUCUCCUCUGAGCCGGGGGGUGUCCAAGCCGUCCUCUGCAUGAGCCCCAGCAAAGCCGCUCGAAGCAGCCCCACCUGCGCUCUCUUUGAGCCGCGCCAUGUGCUUAUGUGCCCCCUUCGUACAGCUUGGGGGUCCCAGGAGCAGGCACUGGGGUUUCCUGCCCAGGGCGUGUGGCCUUUCCCCUGGGAAUUUCUGCUCGGACGGGAAGGAGUCGCUGGAAGGGGCAAGCCAGGUGGCCGCAUGCCAAAGGGCGUGGGGACGGACUGCUUCGCCUGCAACCUUUGAGCCCACAGCUCCGCUGGAUGCUUGGGAGCCUGGCACGUUUAUUACCGUUGGCCAGGCAGCGCCCAGAGCCGCUCCCUGCACUGGAGGUCCAGGCUGGGCUCGGCAGCUCCAUGGGACAGAGGGGAAGGGAAUCGGCGCUGCAGCUUUCCUGGUGGCUCGGUAGUGCCCUCCCGCUCGCUCGGCCAGCCUCAGGGACCCCGAUGGCCAAGUGCUGCUGGAUGGAGGAAGAGGGGUCUCUCUUCAAGGGGCUGCCCCCGCUGCCACCGGUGCUCUGCACCCCCCACACACAUGGCCCUCUGGCGGCAGGGGAGCGCCAGGAGGCGCUGGAAGAGCGUGGGACAAGCAGCCAAAGGGACAGUGCUCCGGGCUCCAGCCUCCAGGUCGGGAUCUCUUGGGUGCGGAAGGAGCUGCUCAGCCUGCAGGUGACCGACCUGGCGCUUCUCUGGCAACUGGACUCCAUCGCCCAGGAGCUCCAGGACCUGCGGGACCUGCAGCUGGACAUGGAAGAGUUCUUUGCAGAACGGGAGCUGCUGGGACCAGCCACCUCCUCCCACUGGCAUCUCUGCCCCUUGAAGCUGAGCGCUGGGAUGGAGGGGAAGGCCUUAUAAACCAAGCGGGUGAAAGAGCUGAUUGGCUAGAUGACCUGUCAAUAGUCUAGAUGCAGGGGAGGGACUUCCUUUCUCUGCAAAGGGUUCUGGGUAGGGAAGCCCUUUAUAUAACCCCUGCUGGGCCUGCCUGGGGAGUGGGCAUUGCUGGGCUGGACAGGACCUGUAGGAUGGAAGGUCCUGGGCCUGUUAUGUGCUAUCCGGGGACUUUGGAUGGGUGGGAUGAGACGGAGAAGGAGCCCGUCGUGUUCUUUGGUUUGGGGUUUUGAUCCCUCCCCCACCGCCGCCACUUUAAAAUAAAAUGUGUUCGGCCUUUUCCUUUCUUCUUGCC